UCCUUGGUGGUUGCAUUUGAUGGAGGCCAUCCAGAUUCUGGAAUUGUUGUUACUGGGAGCGGCCUUGACUUGAAUCAACAGGAAGAAGAACUUGGACAAAGGAAGAUUGAGCUUGAAGCAGAGGAAAGAAAGCUUGAAGAAACUUUGGAGUAUCAGUGACGAAUUGAAAAUGAGGCCAAACAGAAGCACCUUGCUGAGCAACAUAAAAAAACUGCAAUAGCAAUUUUAGAGAAGAAGGAAGCAGUUGGACUGCCAGAUGAUUGCUUCCUGCACAUCGAUAAUGAUCAAAAUGUGUUUGAACAACUGAAACAUAGUAGGCAGGUGAGCGUUCGUUGUACUAAUUUCUCUUUGUUAUUAACAGAAUAAAUAUAUUGGUCCGUCUGUUUCUCAAGAACAUGAACAUAUAGGACUUUAGCUCAUUACUGUGGUUAGAUUAUGCAAACAAUGAUGAAAGAAAUUUCAUUCAAGUCUGAGUUAACUCACAAACCUGCACUCUAGGAACCGUCAAGUCAGAGCAAUGGAUUCAUGAACGUUUUAGAACUUGUGCCUGGAGACCCUGGAGAUGAAGCAUCCCAGAGGAUGGAUAAAUACCCACACCAAUCACCAUGAUGGAGAAAUUAAACAACAUAAGUUACUCCCUCCGUUCCCAAAAGGAUGAACAAAGACAAUUUGGACACAUUAAGAAAAGUAAAAGUAGAGAAAAGAGAGUAAAAAAGUUUUAAAUUUAUUCUUAGUAAAGAAAAUAAAAGGAAAAAUUAAGGUAUUUUAUUUAGUCAGUUGAAGGACUCUGGAAUCUUUCUAUAUGCUUAACCAUUUAAUAGAUAUUGUGGGUAGUUUGUCGGUUUAAUAAUAUUAGUACCACGUAACAACUCUAUUGUCUUUGUGUAUUGAUUUUGGCAUUAAGUGUCUUUGGUGACCUAUUUGUUUCAUUUUUCUGAUUUGCUAUUAUUUUUAAAUAUGUGUAGGAAGACUGUUUCUACGACAUGCCUUACAAUAUUGGGUAUCAAAUUUCUAUGUUACGUUUACAGAAGAUAAGGGACGAAAUUAUGAAGUGUACUCUCUCUAUAUAUGUAGAUAUAUACUUUGAUUGAAGAACUGAGGUAGCUUUAGAUGGUUAAUUGUAAAGAUAAUGAAUGAUUGUGUAGUGAAUGAUUUUAUUAAUUUAAUAAUAUUUUAAUUUUUUGUAUUUUUGUCAUUAUUUGUUUUGGGGACAUUGAGCCAGUCAGGUAUACAAAAAGAAUGUCAAAUUUUGAUUUGGCAACAAUAUAAUUCGUUACCAAAGCAUCGAACAAGUUUUAAUAUAGCAACAAUUUUUUAGCAAUAACUUUUCGUUGCUAAUGACAUUAAAAAUAUAAUAUUUGUCAACGAAAAAUUAACCUAAUAACAAUGACGAGGAUACUGUUGCUAAUACUAACAUAAAAGGCAACAUUUUUUAUCGUUGCAAAUCAUAUCAACUUUCGUUGCACAUAUAAAGAAACGACAACAUAUAAUGUCGUUGCUAAUCGACGACUUUCGUUGCUAUUGAAAAAUAACCAGCAACAAACAUUUUCGUUGCUGAUUCAGCAUAAUGUCGUUGCCAAAUAAUAUAAUAAGCAACAAAAAUCGUUGCUAAAAAGUUUACAUUCCGCAACGAAAGCAAGCUUAAGCAACAAUUUUCAUAAUUUACUGCAACGAAAAAUGUCGUUGCAAAAUGGUCUUAAUUGCAACGAAAAUGCAUGGUCGUUGCAAAAAAAAAGAGUUCAUUUCGUUGCCGAUUAGCAGACUUUUGCAACGAAAUAGGGUUUUUAGCAACGACAUGUUAAUUAUUCUGCAACAAUACAUUUUGUUGCUAAAGGAUCGAUAUCUGUGUACGAAAGUCAAAUUUCGUUGCAAAAUGUAUUACUUUUGGCAACGAAAAAAAUGCGUUCGUUGCGGAACAUUUAGCAACGCUCAUUGCGCAACGAAAGACUCAACGACAGUAAAAUCGUUGCCAAAACCCUUUUGCAACGAAAUUUGGCACCUUUAGCAACGAAAAUUGUUUGUUGCUGAAGCCCCAUUUUUUUGUAGUGUGUUAAGGGAGAUGAUUAAAGAAUAAGAUCACGACGUGAUCUGUUUAAGUUAUAAAAGAAAGAUGGUCUGUAAUGUUUGAAUGAUUAUAGCUUAAUGCUAUGAAGAUGGUGUACUAUGAAUGUGACAACCCGAGAAUUUAGAAAAUUUUUAAAAUUUUAAUUAAUUGAUUUUAGGUUCAAAAUUAGAACCUAGGUAGAAAAUUAGUGUAUGCGUUUAAUAUUUUUAAGAUGAAUUUUGAGGAUUUCAAAAUUCUGUGAAGGAUUUAGGUGAAUUAUUCAAAAUUAAGGGAAUAAGCAUUUAUGUUCUAUGUAUAUGUGUGAAUGAUGUGGUUAAGGGUCAAGGGUUGACCAGAUAAACGAUAUCUGUAACAAACCCUAAGUAUAUAUUAAGAACGUCAAUGUUCGGUUAGAAAACCCUAGCGAUUAACAAGAAACCCUAGAAAUCGGUUCUAAAACCCCUAAUUUUAGUUCAGGAAUUCGAAACCCUAAUUCGAUGUAUGAAACCCUAAUCUAGGAACUUAAAUGAUUAUUAUAUUGUUUAAGUGCUAUUAAUUAUAAUAUUAAUUAGGGUAAAGCUUAAUUAUUUAGUAAAACCCUAAUUUCAAAAUUUAAAACCCUAAUUUCGGGAUAAGAACCUUAAUUUAUAAUUGGGAAAACCUAAUUGUUAAUUAAUAAUUGUAAUAUUAAUUAGGAAACCUUAAUCCUAAUUUUCAAGUUAAGUAAUUAGAAAACUCUAAUCUAAUUACGAAAAUUUAAUUUCUAAAUUAGAAAAUUAUUUUUUCUAUUAGAAACCCUAAUUAGUGGUUUAUAAACCCUAAUGACCAUUUUGAUCCUAAUUGCUUAAUUAGCGAUUGUAAUUAGGAAAUGCUAAUCCUAAUUAGCAAGAUUGAAUUUAUGAUUAGAAAAUCUUAAUUAUAAUUAUAGAAUCCUAAUUAUAAUUUAGAAAUAUUAAAUUUCUAUUUUUGAAAACCUAAAUUAGAAAUUUUAGAAAAUUAAAUUUGUAAACCCUAAGGGUUUCAAACCCUAAACCCAAACCCAAAUCCUAAACCCUAAGGGUUUGGGCAUUUACUAGAAUGCCAUUAAAAUUAAAAUGGAAAAGACUAUUUUGCCCUUGUGCAUUAUUGGAUGUUGCUUGUAAAUCUUGCCAUAUAUUGGCUAGUUAACCACCCUAGAUCAGCCACAUGCUAAUAUCUCCAGCAGAUCAGCCCCAACAUCAGCCACAUUAUUGCAAUCAAUAAUACAUAUAGAUUAAAGUAAGAGAAAGCCUUACUUUAUUUCUCAUUCCAUCCAAGUCCCUUCUCUCUCUAACUUUUCGAAAUCUAGUGUGAGAGGGAGUGAAAAGGUGAGCCAUAAUCAGUUUCUAGCAAGCUAACCUCAGAAGACAGAAGACAGAAGACAGAAAACCAAGAUCAAAGUUUUAAAGGUAUAAAGCUCUAAUUCUAGAAAUUUCAUGAUCUGGUGUUAGAUGUUAGGAUUUGUUGUUUAGAUAUGUGUUAGAGGGUGUCAUUUGAUGAUCUGGGUUGUCAAAACCUAGAUCCAUAUCAUUUUGAUGCUCGAAAUCAAAGUUUUUAGAACUGAUCUAUGAACCCUAAAACAUGGCCUGACAGCCGAAUGUCAGGGCUCAUAGAUCUUUUCCUGUUAAAUGUUUUUGUGUUUUAAGAGUUUGAACUUGUUGUUUGUAGUAUGGCCUUUGAUCUGGAACUUGAAUCAAGUCCAGAUCAAGUGUAAAUCAAAAGUUAUUAAGGGUCAAACAACGUUGACCGACAUUGACUAGAAGUUCUGGGUAACCCAGAUUUGCCAACAAUGGGUCUGACAAUAUUUUUUAGCUUCGGAUCUUAGUGGUUUUUUGUUAGUUUGGCUAUAAUGUUGUUUUGAUCUUGUAUACUGACAUGUAGGCUUCAUGUUCAUACUUAUAGAACUCACAGAUCAUGUAUAUAAUCAAAGAUAAGAAGGGUCAAAGUANNNNNNNNNNNNNNNNNNNNNNNNNNNNNNNNNNNNNNNNNNNNNNNNNNNNNNNNNNNNNNNNNNNNNNNNNNNNNNNNNNNNNNNNNNNNNNNNNNNNAUAUAUAUAUAUAUAUAUUACAUACUUGAACCUUUAUAUCACAUAAACCGAGCCAAGAAAGCUAAGAUUAAAGGGCUCAAAUAAGGAACCUCAACUGUUCUUCAAUUUCUAGAAAACCCAGAAAUUGAAGAACAGCGUCUGACAAGUUUGUGAAGCUUAAAAUCUCUCAUUUGUGUUACUGUUUGGUCAUGAAAUCAAAUUGUAGUUAUAGUAUUACAUACAUACUAUAAUAUUAAAAUGAUUACCAGCUCUGAUUCAACACGAUCAUGAACUUAGAACCAGUCAAACAUGGUACCCUAGUAACUGGCGAUGAAGUUUUGGGUAGCCAAGAACAUCAAGAACAGGUCUGACAAUGUUUUCUGUAGCUUAGAUCUCACAGAUUAGUUAUGUUUUGGCCAUGAAGCUUGAUUAAGCUUGUAGUGUGUCGAUAAUACUACAACAUUAGUGGAAAACCGAUCCCAAAAAUAAUCAACUACACUGUUUUAAUUGAGGUCAAACUAGGCAACCUGUUAGCAGCUUAUGAAUAUCUGGGUUGGCUGAAGAACACCUAUAGCGACAGUUUUGUCACUAUAGGUACCUUUAGCGACAGAUAAAUUAGAAAAUAAUUAUUUUAAUUAAAUAAAUUGAAAUACAUAGAUUUUAAUUAUUAAAAAUACUUAAAAAAAUUCCGAAAAUUUAUUUUAAAUUCUGAAAAUUUAUUUUAAAUUCCGAAUAUAAAUGGUAUUUAAUUUUAUAAUAUUAAAUAAAUGAUUUAAAUACAUGAAAAAUCAUGAAAAAUAAUAUUAUGGUAUAAUAAAAUAUUUAAGUUAUUUUCAGUGACUUUUAAUAUUUUAGGAUGAAUUUCAUUAAUUAAUUAACAUUAAUGACAAUUAGUUUAUUUAAUAAAUAUAUUAAAUAAAUUAUGAAAAAAUAGAAUUAAUGAUUUAAAAAUCAUAUAAAAAUAAUUUAAGUGAUAUAAAUAUUUUAAGUUAUAACCUAUAACUUUUGAUAUUUUUUUAUGAAAAUAUUAAUAUUUUAAUAUUAAUAGUAAUUAUCAGAUAAUGAAUUUAACGGUAUUAAAAAUACUUUGUAAUAUUAUAAAUAUAUUAUAAUAUUAUGACAUGUAUUUCAUUAAUAUUUGAUAAUAAAUAGAUAUUAAUGAUAAUAGAAUAUUGUGGUAUUUAAUUCAUUUAAAUACGUUAUUAAGGAUUGAAAAAUUAUGAUAAAUGAUAUUAAUUAUCUGAAAAUUAUUUCAAGUCUAUGAAAAUUAUUUGGACUAAUAUUAAAAUUAUUUAAGUUAAUUGUUAAGUGUUUAGGCAAAGUUUAAUUAAACUUAAACUUGUGAAUUAUCCGACUAGACCGUCGGGAUGUCAGUUUUAUGUCGGGUUCAACUCAGACUGCAAUAGUUUGACUUGAUACCGAGUCUUAUAUGUGUUAUUGACUGAUAGAGUUAUGUGUUAUGUGUUUAGGUUAUUCUAUGUAUAUCUAUAUAUAUUAUAGUAUUAUAUUGUGAUGAUAUUAUUCUAAUAUUGGAGAUCUAUAUUACUAAUAUUAGGUUUUCGGAUAAUGCGUUAUAAAUUGCGUAGCGCUAAUCAACUGUUCAGGCAAGUUUGUAUUUACUUAACUCUACUAAGAGUUGUUUUAUUCAGAUAAGCUUAUGGUUAAUAUUUGCUGGUUGCCAUGAAUUGUACUCUGUACAUAUUGCAUGUAUAAGUCAGGUAUGAAAGGCUGAUCACCUUCAUUACCAGUUGGUUCAGAUAUAUUUGUUCAUGUAUAAUACUUGUUCAGUCAUAAAUUUGUUCCUGCUAGUUCACAAUUAUAUUGUUGAAUUAUAGCCAGCUUAUUAUUCAGACUCUUUCAAUCAUGAUAUAUCGUUAUAUUAUUGAACUUGAACUUGUUGGGCAAUCCUUAUGCUCACCAUUGCUAUAUCAUGAUAAAACAUUGCAGAUUAAGACGUACGCGUAAGAUACAAGGAAAGGUUAAAGACAGUUCCAGCUUAAAGUUAAUAUGCGCGAUUAGUUUUGUAAUAGUGUAGUUUGAUAAUAAUGUUAUAUGUUAGAAAAGUUAUGAUUUGUGUAUAAGUUAAGGUUACUCGACCUUGGGAAAAAGUGUGUAAGUUUAAUGUAUAAACAAUUUAUGUUUAUAUCUUCCGCAAAUAGUAAUAGUUGUAUAGAAUGAUUGAACCGGAUCCGCGGUGAUUCAGGACCUCGGAUUCGGGGCCCUCACAAUGAAAUAAUACAAGAUAACUCAUGAGGAGUUAUAGAUGAUGUGAUACGACGAAUUCGUAUCGAGCAAAGAACAAGUUAAGAGCAAGAUAGAGUUAGAAGGGAUUUCAAUUGAGGACUCAUGUGAUGGCUGAGUUGUACAAACCUUUGUAUGGGCGAGGGUUUUGUGCUUGCACUCAGUUUAUCACAUUGAUAAUCAUUGGAAUGUUUGUGUCGCGCUAUUUGUUAUAUGCCUGUUGAAAAGGUGAUUCUUUUCUCAUGUGUAUAACAGAUAGGUAGAGUAUAGUUAAAGAAUAUUAUAAGGUUAAGUGCGAGUUCUUAAAACUCAUACUUAUGGUAGGUUCGUGACUCAUAAUUAUAUGGUAUGUUUUUGAACCCCUCAGCGAAUGGACGCCUAUGGUCUGACUACGAUAAGUUCUUAAACUCAUAUGAUUGUGGCAAGUUCUUGAACUCAUAACGUAUGGUAAGUUUGACGAACUGGGUAUAGAUAAAUGUAAAUAGAGUAUUGAGGAUGAUAGGAAUAGAUAGACCUAUUAAGCAAUGGAUCAUUAUAGAAAGUGGAGUUGAUGGUGGAAGUAUUGGUAUUCUAAAUCUACUAGCUAUGCUAGACUUUCAAAAUUUAUUGACUUCGUGCUGAUGUUUAUAUUUUUAUUUUCUUGAAAAACAUUGGAUCAAAUGAUGGAACCAAUGAGGUUUAACAAAAAUACUUUAUUCGUAUGUCUAUGCUAAUUGCUUCGGCUAGACAAAAAUGAUUUGAAAUAUAUCAAAAUGUAUUUUAUAUCAUUAAUGCAUCAUGUAACCUGGUGCAAAGNNNNNNNNNNNNNNNNNNNNNNNNNNNNNNNNNNNNNNNNNNNNNNNNNNNNNNNNNNNNNNNNNNNNNNNNNNNNNNNNNNNNNNNNNNNNNNNNNNNNNNNNNNNNNNNNNNNNNNNNNNNNNNNNNNNNNNNNNNNNNNNNNNNNNNNNNNNNNNNNNNNNNNNNNNNNNNNNNNNNNNNNNNNNNNNNNNNNNNNNNNNNNNNNNNNNNNNNNNNNNNNNNNNNNNNNNNNNNNNNNNNNNNNNNNNNNNNNNNNNNNNNNNNNNNNNNNNNNNNNNNNNNNNNNNNNNNNNNNNNNNNNNNNNNNNNNNNNNNNNNNNNNNNNNGCUGAAAUGUUUGAGCACAAUACAUGUACGAAGGAUUGAUCCCCUAAGUACCUUGGAGUCCUUAUAGUCGUAUGACUGUUAAAGUUAAAGUUGAAAGAUUGCAUAUAACUGUGGACAUGGUUCGUGGUCAUUAGACCCUCAGUUGAAUGCUUGCACUCUAAAUUCUGAGAUGAACAACUCUUUUAUUAGAGGUUGCACUUAGUUUAUACUUUGCGCUGAAAUGUUUGUGCACAAUACAUAGUACGAAGGGCUUAACACCCUAAGUACUGAGCGUAAUGCAUAUAGUCGUUACAAAACAUUACGUUGCGGCCCAACGUAGUGGUAUAAUAGGUUGGCCACCUAGUGUACGAGUGGAGGGUGUUUUCAGUCUUUGUGAUUGAUAAACAUUCUGCCAAAGAGGGUUUAAAGUGUGAAGAACCGGGGGUGAAGCACUAUUAAACCUAGAGAAGAGUUCACGGUCUUAUGACCCCUCAGCAUGAUUUGGAAUCUUUUAAAUUCUUGAGUUAUUCAUACUACUUCCCAGUUAUUGAACAAUUGUGGAAGAUUCUUGUUAUUCUGCAAGAUAGAAGUGAAAAAGGAAAGUAUUCCUUAGAAAGAAGUGAGUCGUAGAAUACGACACUGAAUGAUGAGUAUGUUGAAUAAGUGAGAAAAGAAAUUUUGAAGUGAGAAGGAUAUGAGUUAUCAAAGAAAUUUGUAAAACUUUUAAUAGAAAAGUUAAUAGUUGUAGAAUGAUCUUUGUGGAAAGAAAGUGGUUAUAGAAACCAAUCAAUGAAUGAAGUAGUGACGUAAAAAUCUACUUUGAUAGAUUAAAUGAAUAAAGAUUAAUAAAUAAAAUUUCGAGGACGAAAUUCUUAGAAGAAAGGGUGAAUGUAAUAUCCCGAGUAUUUAUGAUAGCGAUCCUUAAGAAAGGAAAUGAAUGGGUUAAGAUAAAUAAUACUCAGAAUAUAAUUGAGUUCAAGUGAAAGUUAUGAAAUGAAACCUAUAAUUUGUUAAAGUAAUGAAUGUAGUAGAAAAUAUAAAACUUAUAUUUAGAUAAAAUGAUGAAAGAUUACUCUGAGUUUGUGUCUUCGAUUCUGAGGACAAAAUCUUUGUAUGUAGGGAAGAUUGUAACGAAUAAGUGGUUUGAGUUGUGAUUCUAAGGAUAGAAUCCUUGUAGGGAGGGAAUGAUGUAACAAUCUAGAUUUUUAAUUAAAUAUUUAUUAAAUUAUAUAAAUAUUUAAUGGAUGUGUUUAUCGUUGAAUAAAUAUUUGUUUAAUUGAUUCGAUUUGAUUUGACUAAUUAUUUGUUUAAUAAAUAAUUAAUGAGUUAAGGAAAGUAAUUAUUUUGAAAUAGUAAUCUAAUUUAAUUUAAUAAUUAAGUUAGAAAGUUUAUAAUGAUUUAAUAAAUUAUUAUAUUAUGCAAUGAAUUGUUAUUAGAAUUAAUUAAAUUAAGUAUGAAAACUUAAUUAAUUAGAAGUGUGACAAAUAACUAUAUUAUAAGUGGUUAUUAAAAUAAAUUAAAGUGAUUUUAAUUUAGUUUUACUAAACAAGGCUUAAGUAUAUUAAGUCUUUAAUUUUAAAUGGAUUUUGCCAAACGGAGCCUUAUGGCUUUUGUAUUUUAAAUUUUGAUUUAUUAAUAAAAUAAAUUAAAUAAAUAAAAUAAUAAAUAAAAUAUAAAAUAAACAUUUGUAAUUGAUACGUUAUAUGUUUUGUAACUGAUGCUUUUAAUUGGUGUGUUAUGGCCAUAACAGUUUUGGGUUUUUUUGGGUUACGUAUUCUUGUUUUGCUAGAUGAGUCUAAGAAGAAAGAAAAUGAAAGAAAGAUUCAGAGAAUAUGAGAGAGAGUCUAAGAGAGAGAAGCAACAAGAGAAGGUUCUGAAUUCUUAUUCUCAGUGAUUAACAACUAAUUUGUAAAGCAACAUAAGGUAUGUGUAUAUAAAGUAUAUAUGUUUUACGAAAAGUCUCGGUGUUAUUGAAUUUCAGUCUAUAAGGUUUUUACAAAAAUUGUCUGUAAACCAUGUUUUAGAAUUGGUUAUGAUAUUACAUGUAAUUAUAAUUGUAAUUGUUAUAACUAACAUAUAUAUAUAUAUAUAUAUAUAUGUUGUAUGCUAAAAUACGUUUAAAGAGAAAGAAGAAUUGGUUUUACAGUGAAAACGUGUAUGAACUUUAGUUGUACAAAAUCAAAGGUUAUAGAUACAAUUGUAUGCUAGUUGUGAAAUUAAAAGUCGGGUGUGUUAAUUGGAUAUGAACUACGGAGAAUUGAAGUUUAAAAGUAAUCAAAUUGGUGGUUAGUAGGAUUUACAGUAUUCACUGUGUUUAUCAACUGUCAAUAAUGGAGUUUUGUUUUAAAAACGGUGUUUCAAAGAAUUAAGUUUUCUAAAAUGGUUGUUUAGUUGUUGGUAAUUGGAAUAUGGAUGAUUCCUACCAUUAAUGAGUAAUUUAUAUAUGUUAGCAUGUUAAUUUAGAUGUUAGCAGUGUUAAAUAGACAGAAAUUAGUUGUUUUGUUCUCCGAUGGUUGGGUUCUGCAAGUUUCGGUGCCCCAGCGCCGAAAUGCGCACCCCAGCGCCAGAAAUUCGAACCCCAACGCUGAAAUUAGCACCCCAGUGCCAAAUUUUGCGCCCCGACGCCACUGGUUAGCCUAGUUCUCUCGCCGCGGCGCCGGAACAGAAGUCUGGGUCGGACAGUUUUGACCUCCUGUAGUAAAACGGCCAUAACUUUCUCAUACGAACUCCGAUUGUGGUGAUUCAAGAUGAUCCGAAACGACGACGAGUAGACCUACAACUUUUGUUCUUUAAGUUUUUCAAUUUGAGGUCUGAAACAGUAGUCAAAAUGGUCAUCUUUAGAACUAUUAUGUUUUCGGGGGCAAUCGGAGGGCGUCGGGCAUGCAGAUAUGCAUGUGUAGUGCUCAUGACGAUAAGAGAUGUUAUUCUAAGUUAUAAAAAUUGAAUAUUAGUAAAUAUAAUGAUGCUUAAUAUUAAUAAAUAAUGUAUUAGAUACGUUUUAGAAGCAUAGUAAGCAUACACAAGAGAUGCAAAUCGGGCGUGUGACGAUUGAACGUCGAAACGCCGUGUCAAGUGUUAAUGAAGUUAAAAAGAGUUUCAAUUCAAUUGAAAUGAAUAUUAUAAGAUAUGGAAUGGAUUUAAUAUAAAACCAAUAAGUAGUCCUAGCAAGACUUAAGCACUUGAAUGAACUUCAAAUAUGAAAUACAGUGAGAUAUAAGUCGAAAAGUUAACACAAUCUAAUUGAACAUUGUGUGCUAAUUAAUAGGAAAGAUUAUGAGAUGUGGAUUAGAGUUUACAUUACAAUUACUAUGUGUUGUUACGUGACUAAUAGUUGAUGUGUAUGAUAAUAUAAUUGUGUAGGGCACGUGAAGUGCAGAUAACUGUAAGUUGUUAAACUGUUAUUGGUAAACAACGAUUAAGGCAAGUCUUUCAGUUCCUAUUUGUUACGUGGACUUGAUGAACUAUUUUAAAUUGCAUGAUAUGUUAUGCAUGUUGAAAUCAUGAAAUGUUAAAGUCGAUAUAUGACUGCAUUGUUUUGGCUAAGUAAUGAUGAUUAAGUAAGGAACUCAAUCUUUAUAAUUGCUAUAUGAAUUAAAAGCAUGUAUGCCAUGUUACUUUAAUGAGAUGUAUAUCGAGCAUGUUAUUAUGUGCUAUGUGAUGCAUGAAAAAUGUUAGACUUUGUUGGGUUGUCGAGCUCACUCUUGCAAAUAACCACUUUUGCAGGUUAAGAUUUUAAAGUAAAGAUAUGUGCUAAGUGAG
This 11192-nucleotide long non-coding RNA is filed under the name Panax ginseng (ginseng). Its description in RNAcentral is "long non-coding RNA (PGIN_LNC001311)". The record is from RNAcentral. Lineage: Eukaryota; Viridiplantae; Streptophyta; Magnoliopsida; Apiales; Araliaceae.